Molecule: ribosomal RNA, 459 nt
Filed under: uncultured bacterium
Lineage: Bacteria
Description: partial 16S ribosomal RNA
Rfam family: Bacterial small subunit ribosomal RNA
Source: RNAcentral
CCUACGGGUGGCAGCAGUGAGGAAUAUUGGUCAAUGGGCGGAAGCCUGAACCAGCCAAGUAGCGUGAGGGAUGAAGGCCCUACGGGUUGUAAACCGCUUUUGCACGGGGAUAACACCAUCCACGUGUGGAGGUCUGCAGGUACCGUGCGAAUAAGGGUCGGCUAAUUCCGUGCCAGCAGCCGCGGUAAUACGGAGGGCCCGAGCGUUAUCCGGAUUCAUUGGGAUUAAAGGGAGCGUAGGUGGGUGUUCAAGUCAGCUGUAAAAUCUCGCGGAUCAACCGCGCCCCGCAGUUGAAACUGGAAGCCUUGAGUUCACAACAGGCAGGCGGAAUUCGUGGUGUAGCGGUGAAAUGCAUAGAUAUCACGAGGAACCCCGAUUGCGAAGGCAGCCUGCCGGGGUGCGACUGACGCUGAGGCUCGAAGGUGCGGGUAUCAAACAGGAUUAGAUACCCCAGUAGUC